RNAcentral lists this non-coding RNA (25 nucleotides) under Cricetulus griseus (Chinese hamster). The record is from RNAcentral. Lineage: Eukaryota; Metazoa; Chordata; Mammalia; Rodentia; Cricetidae.
UAAUGGGAAAAUUGCUCUGAAUUCC